This 75-nucleotide transfer RNA is filed under the name Cavernulicola chilensis. Its description in RNAcentral is "tRNA-His". It matches the Rfam family "tRNA". Rfam says of the family: Transfer RNA (tRNA) molecules are approximately 80 nucleotides in length. Their secondary structure includes four short double-helical elements and three loops (D, anti-codon, and T loops). Further hydrogen bonds mediate the characteristic L-shaped molecular structure. tRNAs have two regions of fundamental functional importance: the anti-codon, which is responsible for specific mRNA codon recognition, and the 3' end, to which the tRNAs corresponding amino acid is attached (by aminoacyl-tRNA synthetases). tRNAs cope with the degeneracy of the genetic code in two manners: having more than one tRNA (with a specific anti-codon) for a particular amino acid; and 'wobble' base-pairing, i.e. permitting non-standard base-pairing at the 3rd anti-codon position. Lineage: Eukaryota; Rhodophyta; Bangiophyceae; Cavernulicolales; Cavernulicolaceae. The record is from RNAcentral.
GGCGGGCGUAGCCAAGAGGUUAAGGCAAUGGGUUGUGGCUCCAUCAUACGCGGGUUCGAUUCCCGUCGUUCGCCU